GUUAUGGUCUCUUAAGUGGUAAUUGC
RNAcentral lists this non-coding RNA (26 nucleotides) under Cricetulus griseus (Chinese hamster). The record is from RNAcentral. Lineage: Eukaryota; Metazoa; Chordata; Mammalia; Rodentia; Cricetidae.